Molecule: long non-coding RNA, 2907 nt
Organism: Dromaius novaehollandiae (emu)
Lineage: Eukaryota; Metazoa; Chordata; Aves; Casuariiformes; Dromaiidae
Exons: 5
Source: RefSeq, a predicted model, not a curated record
CCAUUACCAUGACACCAUCUUCAAUUAGCUUGUGCCACAUUCUGACUUCCCCAGAGUCUCUCAUUUCCUUGCCCUUUUAAUAUUGCAGGCUCAUGAAUUAUGUGGGGUGGGGACCAAGGAAGGCAUAUUUCUAUUUUUCAUAACAGUCAUACAAGACCCAACUCUAAAUUUCUGAGAAAAGAGCACAACCUACCAGCAAGAGAAUGCACCAGAAAAAAACAGAAGAAAAGUGCUGUGUAGUCUUUACACAAGAAGGGUUUGUGACAAACAUGAAGAUGUUCUGCUUCUGUGGACCUGACAAUAAAGGCAUCUUUCCUGUAACCAGACCUCAGCUGGAGCAGAUCAAAAAUUGAGAGAUGAAAGGUCAGAAUUUGAAAGAUGAACAAAAUAUUUCAUUUUCACUAGAAAAUGUAAAUUGUGUGGACUGAAAUUUCAUAGCAAUGCAUCUGAUUCCGAAAGCAGAUCUUACUAAAAAGACUGUCAUGAUUAGGAUGUAACUUGGUCAAGAGAGGACACUAGAGCCAACUCGGAAGGUCAGCAGUUCCACAUACCUGUGAGCAGCUGACAACCAAGUAGCUGUGUUUAAAUCACUAUGAUAAGCCUGUAUAUCUAAGGCUUUCCCUGAGGACAGGACAUCAACAAGAAUUCUCAGCGCUCGUGGAAGGACUGUGCCUGGGAUGACUCUCAUUUUGAACUUCAAAAUAUUUUAUGAUGUGGUGAUUUUGUGAUAAAGGAGAAAGGGUUCCUAAUGCCUGUGGUACUAGUGCCCCAAAUGGAAAAUCAAAAGAAAGAACACACUGACAGCUGUGAUUUUAUUUAAAGUAAAGACUGCACAGGUAAGAAAGUGAACAUUCAAACAUUUCAUUUUAUACGAUAAAAUAUGAAGGUAAAAUCCCCAUGUUCAAAGGUCCCCUUGCAUGUUAUUUUUUGCCAGCUCUGGCUGCUUUUUGUAUGUUUCCUAAUUGACUUAAAAACAAAUGAGAGACCGAAAAAAGAAAGUAAGCGGUUCCUGGCCUUUUUACCAGUUUAAUCCUCUCUUUUCACGUUUGCCAUGUACUCCUUGGAUUUACAGUCUACUGUUUCAGAAUGUUGUACUGAAAAUACCAACAAUACAGAAGAAACAGAACAUUAGUGUGCUCAAGCAGUGUGACGUGAGGAAAUGGCUAGAGAAAGUAAAGGACUUUCAAUUAAACAACAGAAGAAAACAACCAAAGCAUUGUUUAUACACCUUUGUGUAGAAAACAUCCAGAUUUACAUAGAAGACUAAAAAUUGUGCUUGUUUCUUUUUCUAUUAAUUAAUUUUUAAAGAAUUCUUUUUGUUUUUCAGCUAAAUCAAUAAAUACAGAAUAGAAUAAAAAUAAAGACAGUCCUUCCCUACAAACAUUUCGAGGAGAAAAUGUCCUCUGAAUUUUAACAGAUGUCCUUCAUUCACACAACCUGCAGCCUAUAACAUAGGCACUGGCACUGUAGCAGUAACAGGCAUCUUCUGAGAGUUUCUUUUCAUAUACAUCAUUCAUAUUGGUAUCAGCUAAAUAUGCCACAGAUAAAAAAUUGAUAGAAAACUAUCCAACUGAGCUUUUAAAAAAGCUGUGCUAGAUCCUGCCAGGAUAGACUCAAGGAUAUGGUGUUUAAUCAUUCUGUAUUCUUGGAGAAAGGACCAAGAUUAAAGCAGUGAACUAAAGGAUAUGAAAGGUUAGGAAAAAUACCAUGUGCAUGAAGCAAGGUUACAGAUGGACUUGACCUUCAUAACUGUGUGCUGAAAUACCCGCUUAGGCAGACAGCUGGACAUGUGUUCCCUUUAGAAACUGGGCAAACCCUUCAGUUCAUUUCACAAUGACCAUCAGAUCAUGCUGAUGUUCUUGUGUUAGUUUACAUUUUAAUCAGUGACCUGAAGAUGGCAGUCUCUAAGUAUCAAGACCAAUAUCUAAAAUAAUAGAGACUUCCUAUUUAUCUGUGAAGAAUUAUAGCUUUCUGUACUGAGCUUGAUUGUUCCUAAAAAAACUACAAUAAGCAGAUAGAGUGGUGAUGUGUGUUAAUCCUAAACUCAGCUAGAGACCUUGCCCUACCAACAAAUACAACAGCCAGGGUUAUGAGGAAUUACUUCCAGUAAUUCCUCCAGAAAUGAAAAUAGUGGUUCAGGAUCUCAUGACCUACAUUGUGAACUUAAUUCGUAGCAUUACUGCAAGGAGUUUGUUUGUAGAGAUUUUCAUUGUAUUUACUAUUCCAAACAAAGGAAAUUCUUGGUCAUUUUCUUUCAUUGCAACAUUUUCUUGGAAGAUUCAUUUGUAUAUUUUUACUUUCUUUUUGUUUGUAUAUUCUGUAUGAGACAUGGAAGAAAUUUCAAAACAAUGCAUGAACCAGGAUUUUCCUUUUCAAUAUAACAUCUAGUCUUCAAAAGACUCUCAUAUAUGUGGAUUUGGGACUGUACUGCUAAACUAGAAAUCUUUGGAAGUUGACACAGAUGUAGGGUUUCCAAGUUUUGGGGUGUCCCAUUUGAUGAUACAAAUGGGUUGGGUUAUCAGAUGAUAUAGCUACUAUUCAUCUCUUUAGCAUUUUGUUUGCUGAAACCUUCUGAAGACAGCUACUUCAAAUUGAAAAUCUUAAUAAAGAUGUCACUUUUGAAAAUACUGACCUAACAGUUUUGUCUUUUCCAACUGUGUUAUGUUAUACCACCUCAAAAGUAAGUAGCUGAUUUAUCAAUUAUUUUGGACAUAUUCUCAUGGCAGUUCUGUAUUAUUAUGUUCUGGUAAGGACUUACGCUACAAAGCCAACAGAGGCCUUCCUAAGCAUGAAGAAAAGGCCUGGCAGGGGAAUUCCUUGUGACUUUUCUAUUCCUUUUUGAAUAUGAUGAUAUGAAUACAACAUUUGAUAACACUGCAUGUGCUAUGCAUGUGAUAUGAAAGUCUU